AUGGAGUUAUUGUGUCCGGCAAAAGUCAAAUUUUUUAUAUGGCGUACAUUACAUGGAACGCUUCCGUGUCGGGUUACGCUCGCAAAUAGACAUAUGAAGGUCACGCCCAUUUGCCCUACUUGCUCUGAGGGUUCUGAAGAUACAAAGCAUAUGCUUUUCCUUUGCAGUAGAGCAAAGGAGGUUUGGACAAGGCUGGGGAUGGAUGAUAUCUUUGAUAAAGCUUGCAAGGUUGACCUUGCGGGAGAGGCAGUGCUGGAAUACCUACUACUUCUGCCAGAUCAAGAUUUGAGGAUAAUGGGUUAUCACAAUGUGCGUGAAAUGAUUGCUGUCUCAGCAUGGUAUCUAUGGUGGGAAAGACGGAAGUUAGUGCACAAGGAGACAACUCAGAAUGCACUUCAGAUUUCAAUGGGGAUUCUAUCCCUUACGUCAAACUUCGUAAAUGCGUCAUCCCCCAGGGCUUCUAUGAAAAAGGGGGUUGGUCAUGUCCUCCUAGGGGUUUUGUGA
Molecule: ribosomal RNA, 504 nt
Filed under: Triticum aestivum (bread wheat)
Lineage: Eukaryota; Viridiplantae; Streptophyta; Magnoliopsida; Poales; Poaceae
Description: partial small subunit ribosomal RNA
Source: RNAcentral